This 263-nucleotide ribosomal RNA is filed under the name uncultured Chloroflexota bacterium. RNAcentral describes it as "uncultured Chloroflexi bacterium partial 16S ribosomal RNA". It matches the Rfam family "Bacterial small subunit ribosomal RNA", at positions 1098 to 1382 of the family's 1533-position model. The record is from RNAcentral. Lineage: Bacteria; Bacillati; Chloroflexota.
GCAACCCUCGUCGCUAGUAAUUUUCUAGCGAUACUGCCGUAAACGAGGAGGAAGGUGGGGAGUGACGUCAAGUCAGCAUGGCCCUUACGCCUUGGGCUACACACACGCUACAAUGGGUGAUACAACGGGUUGCGAGAGAGCGAUCUGGAGCUAAUCCCUAAAAUCAUCCUCAGUUCGGAUUGCAGGCUGAAACUGCCUGCAUGAAGUUGGAGUUGCUAGUAACCGCAGGUCAGCACACUGCGGUGAAUACGUUCUCGGGCCUU